Molecule: ribosomal RNA, 465 nt
Filed under: uncultured bacterium
Lineage: Bacteria
Description: partial 16S ribosomal RNA
Rfam family: Bacterial small subunit ribosomal RNA
Source: RNAcentral
GAUGAACGCUGGCGGCGUGCUUAACACAUGCAAGUCGAACGGAAAGGCUCCUGCUUGCAGGGGUACUCGAGUGGCGAACGGGUGAGUAACACGUGGGUGAUCUGCCCUGCACUUCGGGAUAAGCCUGGGAAACUGGGUCUAAUACCGGAUAGGACGAUGGUUUGGAUGCCAUUGUGGAAAGUUUUUCGGUGUGGGAUGAGCUCGCGGCCUAUCAGCUUGUUGGUGGGGUAAUGGCCUACCAAGGCGUCGACGGGUAGCCGGCCUGAGGGGGUGUACGGCCACAUUGGGACUGAGAUACGGCCCAGACUCCUACGGGAGGCAGCAGUGGGGAAUAUUGCACAAUGGGCGCAAGCCUGAUGCAGCGACGCCGCGUGGGGGAUGACGGCCUUCGGGUUGUAAACUCCUUUCGCUAGGGACGAAGCGCAAGUGACGGUACCUAGCGAAGAAGCACCGGCUAACUACGUG